ACGGAGGGGGCAAGCGUUGUUCGGAAUUAUUGGGCGUAAAGGGCGUGUAGGCGGCCAAACAAGUCGGAUGUGAAAUCCCUCGGCUCAACUGAGGAACUGCAUUCGAUACUGCUUGGCUAGAGUCCGGGAGGGGGUAGUAGAAUUCCCAGUGUAGCGGUGAAAUGCGUAGAUAUUGGGAAGAACACCAGUAGCGAAGGCGGCUACCUGGACCGGAACUGACGCUGAGGCGCGAAAGCCAGGGGAGCGAAUGGGA
This 253-nucleotide ribosomal RNA is filed under the name uncultured prokaryote. RNAcentral describes it as "partial 16S ribosomal RNA". It matches the Rfam family "Bacterial small subunit ribosomal RNA", at positions 525 to 777 of the family's 1533-position model. The record is from RNAcentral.